UUAGAGUUUGAUCCUGGCUCAGGAUGACCUUUAGCGGCAGGCUUAACACAUGCAAGUCGAGGGGCAGCAUGUCCAGCAAUGGAUGAUGGCGACCGGCGGAAGGGUGCGUAACGCGUGAGCAACAUGCCCUAUACAGGGAGAUACACCAAGGAAACUUGGUCUAAUAUCCCAUAGCAUUCAUUGAAGGCAUCUUUAAUGAAUUAAAGCUUCGGUGGUAUAGGAUUGGCUCGCGUGACAUUAGCCAGAUGGUGAGGUAACGGCUCACCAUAGCAAUGAUGUCUAGGGGUUUUGAGAGGAAGGCCCCCCACACUGGGACUGAGACACGGCCCAGACUCCUACGGGAGGCAGCAGUGAGGAAUAUUGGACAAUGGAUGGAAAUCUGAUCCAGCCAUGCCGCGUGCAGGAAGACGGCCUUAUGGGUUGUAAACUGCUUUUAUACGGGAGCAAUAAGGGUUACGAGUAAUCCGAUGAGAGUACUGUAUGAAUAAGGAUCGGCUAACUCCGUGCCAGCAGCCGCGGUAAUACGGAGGAUCCGAGCGUUAUCCGGAUUUAUUGGGUUUAAAGGGUACGUAGGCGGGAUGAUAAGUCAGCGGUGAAAUUUUGCAGCUUAACUGUAAGCUUGCCGUUGAAACUAUUAUUCUUGAGUGUAGAUAAGGUAGGCGGAAUGUGUUGUGUAGCGGUGAAAUGCUUAGAUAUAACACAGAACACCAAUUGCGAAGGCAGCUUACCGGGUUACCACUGACGCUGAGGUACGACAGCGUGGGGAUCAAACAGGAUUAGAUACCCUGGUAGUCCACGCCGUAAACGAUGAAUACUCGCUGUUUGCGAUAUAGUGCAAGCGGCCAAGCGAAAGCAUUAAGUAUUCCACCUGGGGAGUACGUUCGCAAGAAUGAAACUCAAAGGAAUUGACGGGGGCCCGCACAAGCGGAGGAACAUGUGGUUUAAUUCGAUGAUACGCGAGGAACCUUACCCGGGCUUGAAAUGCAAUCGACUGACUUGGAAACAGGUCAUCCAGCAAUGGCGAUUGUGUAGGUGCUGCAUGGUUGUCGUCAGCUCGUGCCGUGAGGUGUCGGCUUAAGUGCCAUAACGAGCGCAACCCUUGCCGUUAGUUGCCAUCAGGUCAAGNNGGAGACUUUAAUGAGACUGCCACCGUAAGGUGUGAGGAAGGGGGGGAUGACGUCAAAUCAGCACGGCCCUUAUGUCCGGGGCGACACACGUGUUACAAUGGGAGGUANNGAGGGCAGCUAUCCGGUGACGGAAUGCUAAUCUCCAAAACCUUUCUCAGUUCGGAUUGGAGUCUGCAACUCGACUCCAUGAAGGUGGAUUCGCUAGUAAUCGCGCAUCAGCCAUGGCGCGGUGAAUACGUUCCCGGGCCUUGUACACACAACCCGUCA
This 1394-nucleotide ribosomal RNA is filed under the name uncultured bacterium. RNAcentral's name for it is "16S ribosomal RNA". It matches the Rfam family "Bacterial small subunit ribosomal RNA". The record is from RNAcentral.